This 347-nucleotide long non-coding RNA is filed under the name Drosophila guanche. Lineage: Eukaryota; Metazoa; Arthropoda; Insecta; Diptera; Drosophilidae. The record is from RNAcentral.
GGCGGGGCUCAUUUUUUAAAUACACUUGUAACAGUGUGAGCAUACAGAAGUCUGGAUGCAAAACUUGGUUGCCCUAUCUCUUAUGGUCUCAGAGUACUAGGCGCUCAUAAGAACGUACAGACGGACCGACGGACGGAAAGACGGACAUGGCUCAAUCGACUCGGCAGUUGAAGCUGAUCAAGAAUAUAAAUACUUUAUGGGGUCGGAAACGUUUCCUUCUGUGUGUUACAAACAUCCGUUAUUCCCCACAAAUACAAUAUACUCCUUGAGUACGGAUAUAAAAAGCUAAGCGAUUGGGUCAAAUUUGUAGCUACAUCAAACAAAUUUUCAGAAUGGUUCUUUACAAC